UACGUAGGGUGCGAGCGUUAAUCGGAAUUACUGGGCGUAAAGCGUGCGUAGGCGGUUCGUUAAGUUCGUUGUGAAAGCCCCGGGCUCAACCUGGGAACUGCAAUGGAAACUGGCGGGCUUGAGUGUGGCAGAGGGGGGUGGAAUUCCGCGUGUAGCAGUGAAAUGCAUAGAGAUGCGGAGGAACACCGAUGGCGAAGGCAGCCCCCUGGGCCAACACUGACGCUCAGGCACGAAAGCGUGGGGAGCAAACAGG
Molecule: ribosomal RNA, 253 nt
Filed under: uncultured bacterium
Lineage: Bacteria
Description: partial 16S ribosomal RNA
Rfam family: Bacterial small subunit ribosomal RNA
Source: RNAcentral